AUGAAAGCCAUUAUUAUUAUUGCUACUAUUCUCAAAAGUCUAAUGGGAUAUUUUCCCCCAUCUUACACAGAUCAGACGAGAGGAGCAUCUUGCCUUGGACCUGGCAACUCAUAUUUUCUUCCUUCACCUGUCAAGGGCCUUACACAUGGAUUCUCUUCUGCCUCUGCCACCCCCGAGACAGCAAGACCGUUCCCUCAUCUUCCUCCUCCUCCUCGCCCCAUCAAUAUGAAGAUGACAAGGAUGAAGACCUUUCACUUAAUGGACAGUAAAUGUGUUUUCUCUUUCUCAUGAUUUUCUUAAGAGUUUCUUUUCUCUAGCUUAUAUUAUUGUAAGAAUAUAGUAUAUAAUAUGUAUAACAAAAAAUAUGGGUUAAUCAAUGGUUUAUGUUCUCAGUAAGGCUUCUAGUCAACAGUAGGCUAUUAAUGUUUAAGUUUGGGGAGUCAAAAAGUUCUAUGUGGAUUUUGGCCAGGUGCAGUGGUUCACACCUGUAAUUCCCGCACUUUGGGAGGCCGAGGCAGGCAGAUAACCUGAGGUUGGGAGUUCCAGACCAGCCUGACCAACCUGGAGAAACCCUGUCUCUACUGAAAAUACAAAAUUACCUGAGUGUGGUGGCACAUGCUUGUAAUCCCAGCUACUUGGGAGGCUGGGGCAGGAGAAUCACUUGAACCUGGGAGGCAGAGGUUGCAGUGAGCCGAGAUCGUGCCAUUGCACUCCAGCCUAGGCAACAAGAGUGAAACUCCAUCUCAAAAAAAAAAAGUUAUAUGUGAAUUUUUCACUGUGUGGGAGUCAGUGUCCCUCAUCUCUCUGCUAUAGGUUGGAGAGUCAACUUUGGUUGAAAAUUGGCAGGUCCCUAUUCUUCGAUGCAUAUACUGAUUUGUUAACUAAAUCUCUGAAUUGCUUGACAACAAAUUUAAAACAUCAUAGUUUUGUACUUUUCUUCUUGAUUUUCCAUUCAAUACCAUUCUUUUCUUACUUAUCCGUCACCUUAGGAUGCAGAAAGUAAAGAAGCAACAGCUGCUACAGCUGAGGGAGCUGAGCUGGGCUCACCACAUGGUGCUGGGCGUGGGUAUCAGCAAAAGAACAGGAGCAAGAGUUCUAGCAAGGACAGUUCUGGCCACAAACAUAGCUCUAGGCAAGGAGUAACUACACAGGCACACAGCAGACUUGGGUACGGGGACUCUGGGGUAGAGUAUGGUGUGGCCUGGGACUCGGAAACAAAGUGGAGGAGAGAAAUAGGAAGCAGCAUUGUAACCUGGAAAGUUCAAGGGCUUUGGAGUCAGCAAGGUCAAGCUGUGAACCCUGACUUCACUCAUUCGCUACAUGACCUUGGGCAUUUUAGUUAACCUCAGUUUUCCUCUAAAAUGAUUAUCAUAACUAACCUCAUUUCCAUCCUUGCAGAGCAGUUGUGAAGAUAACAUAUGCGUAUGAAAUACAUGAUUUAGGACUUAAUAGGCAGUCAGUUCUGUCCUGCUUUAAGGCUCCUUUACUUCCCGCGGGAUCCUCCGUGGUCUCCAUCAGAUCGUUGGAGCUCAUGAGAGGUUGGAUUCCCUGCCCUCCCACGUGCUAGUGCUGUGAGGUCAAGGUGCAAACAAUUGCUGCAGAGAGCUGGGGGAAUGCUAGCACUGAAAGAUCCUUGCUGUGUUUCAUUUUCUAGUGAUGGGUGAUGAUUUACCCCACAAAGUUAAAACAGAUUUAGCCUCUGACAGUUUUUGUGGCCUGAAGUCCAGGCACAGUUUAGCUGGAUCCUCUGUUCAGUCUCACCAAGCUAAAAUCAAGGUACUGGCUGGGCUCUGUGUGUGUGUGUGUGUGUGUGUGUGUGUGUAUGUGUGUGUGUGUGUUGUAGAGAAGGAGUCUCAUUAUGUUGUCCAGGCUGGUCUUGAACUCUUGCCUCAAGUAAUCCUCUCACCUCUGCCUCCCAAAAGCCUGUGAAUCAGCUCUUGAUUCACUUGGAAAUUCACCAAAUGAGUUUUCUUCUUGCCAGACUUACAUAUUCUACAGGGGUGAGCCAUUGUGCCUGGGCCCUACAGGGGUGGCCACUGCGCCUGGGCCCUACAGGGGGUGGCCACUGCGCCUGGGCCCUACAGGGGUGGCCACUGUGCCUGGGCCCUACAGGGGUGACCACUGUGCCUGGGCCCUACAGGGGUGGCCACUGUGCCUGGGCCCUGUAGAGGUGAGCCACUGUGCCUGGCCUUGGGACUGUGUUCUCAUCUGGAGGUUUGACUCCAGAAUAAACUGUUUCCAAGCUCAUAAAGGUUAUUGGCAGAAUUCAUCUCCUUGUAGUGUGGGACUGAAGUCCCUCUGUUCUUUUACGGCUGUUGGACAGGGCCCAUCAUAGCAUCUGCAGGUCGCCCUCACCCUUGCCACCUG
This is a long non-coding RNA of Papio anubis (olive baboon), 2367 nucleotides long. Lineage: Eukaryota; Metazoa; Chordata; Mammalia; Primates; Cercopithecidae. The record is from Ensembl.